GCGGUGGUGGUAUCGGCUGACCUCAUCCGGGCCGAGCUUGCCGCUUACAUCAGCGACUUCCGUGGCUCCGACUUCACUUGGGAGGUGACCGAGACGGCGCCUCUUGUCUUCUCGAUCCCCUUGCCCUCUGCCGAGCUGCUCCGUGUGUGCUCCCAUGACUUCAUCUGAUGCCCCAUCAACAAGCUCAUGGUCUCCAUUCGGGCCGCGGAUGCGGAGCCUGACCCUGUGCCUCCUAUGGAGAAGGUGUGGAUCCUUGUCUACGGCUUGCCCCGAGGUGGCAGGGCGGCACCGAGGGGUGGAAAACUUGCCCACAUCCUCAAGGCUAUCUCUGAGCCAGUGGGCAAGCUGGUGUCCGCUAACCCGGCGUCCUUCGAGGGUAAUGGUCCCGCCCGCAUUGGGAUCCUCUGCCCCGCUCCGGCUGAGAUUGAUGGAUUGUCCCUGGUUUUCUACCUCGGCGCUUCGGGAAAGGGGAGGCGCCUCACCUUUGAGCUCGAGUCCCCGAUUCCUGAGGAUAUGCUUGGGCCGGCCCCCACUGCUGAUUUUCCCCCUCUGUAUGAUGGGCAUGGUGGGGUGGCUCCGCUUCUGGGGGGAGCUCUUCCAGUGAGGAGGCUGAUGAGGAUGAUGAGGCCCCUCCGGCUUCGUCUGCUUGGCGCCGUAGCCCGGCUCCUACUGGUGGUGGGCCCUCCUGCCCAGCAGGGACGGCUUCCCAGGCGGCGUCAGGGAGUGGGUCUUUGGUCUUGGACACCCCUCUUUCUGUCGCUCCCUCGGUGGCCGACUUGGAGACCAUGGAGGAGGAUGUGGUGA
RNAcentral lists this ribosomal RNA (804 nucleotides) under Triticum aestivum (bread wheat). RNAcentral's name for it is "partial small subunit ribosomal RNA". Lineage: Eukaryota; Viridiplantae; Streptophyta; Magnoliopsida; Poales; Poaceae. The record is from RNAcentral.